This is an RNA transcript of Salvia miltiorrhiza (redroot sage), 2352 nucleotides long. It is a transcript of the gene named 3-oxoacyl-[acyl-carrier-protein] synthase, mitochondrial-like, with no coding region annotated. The record is from RefSeq and is a predicted model, not a curated record. The transcript has 15 exons. Lineage: Eukaryota; Viridiplantae; Streptophyta; Magnoliopsida; Lamiales; Lamiaceae.
AGAAUUUUAUUGAGUAAUUGAUGUAGUUUAAUUUCAAUACUUGUGAUGUUCUAGUUUAGUUAAAGAAUCAGUCUCACUCACGACGCUGCCACCCGUUACCCAUCCUAACCCGCCGCCCCGCACCGUACCGUCCAGCCUCGCAACGGACGGCCCGGACCUUGCCUCUCUGUCACUCAGCAACUGCUCCGCCCGCGCCAGCAGCAGCAGCAGCCACCCCGCGACCACCCCUCGCCGCCGCGCCAACGGCCGCCUCCGGCGUCGCUGCAAGUUGAAUAAGUUGGAUUUUGUCAGAAAAUAUUUGGAAGCAGCAAUGGCAAUGGCUAAGCACAAUAAGAGAAUCUUGACAUCAAUCAUUCACGUCAGCCGUUUGUUCUCUACUGUUCCCUUUGACCCUCCACCCCUUUCAGCGUCUCGUCGAGUUGUUGUGACAGGUUUAGGGAUGGUAACUCCUUUGGGCUGUGGUGUGGAAACUACCUGGAAGCAUUUAAUGGAUGGGGAUUGCGGAAUUAGGGCAGCAACUAUUGAAGAUCUGAAGAUGAAUGGAUUUGAUACGGAGACAAAACAGCAAACCUUUGAUCAAUUGACAUCAAAAGUUGCUGGAGUUGUACGUUGUGGGUCCAACCCAGGUGAAUUUAAUGAGGAGUUAUGGCUUAACUCUAAGGAUCAUAGGUCGAUUGCCAGAUUCAUAGGCUACGCAUUAUGUGCUUCCGAUGAGGCUCUAAGAGAUGCAAAUUAUAUCCCCACUCAGCAAGAUGAGAAGGAAAGCACGGGAGUCUCCAUAGGUGCAGGAACUGGUAGCAUUAGUGACAUAUUGGAUGCUUCAAGAAUGAUUUGUGAGAAGAAACUGCGCCGGCUUAGUCCAUUUUUCAUCCCAAGGAUACUAAUAAACAUGGCUUCUGGCCAUGUGAGCAUGAAGUAUGGAUUUCAGGGACCAAACCAUGCUGCAGUGACAGCUUGUGCUACUGGGGCACAUUCUAUUGGGGAUGCUACCAGAAUGAUUCAAUUUGGUGAUGCUGAUGUUAUGGUUGCUGGAGGGACUGAGGCAAGCAUUGAUGCUUUGUCUAUAGCAGGAUUCUGUAGGUCAAGGGCACUGACAACCAAGUAUAACUAUGAACCUAAAGAAGCCUCAAGACCUUUUGAUUGUGGCCGCGAUGGAUUUGUAAUAGGUGAAGGUUCUGGCAUCCUCGUUCUUGAGGAACUCGAGCAUGCUAGGAAACGAGGAGCAAAAGUGUAUGCAGAAGUCCGUGGUUAUGGGAUGUCAGGUGACGCAUAUCAUAUCACCCAACCACACGGUGAUGGAAGAGGAGCAGUUUUGGCCAUGUCACGUGCUUUAAAGCAGGUAUUAGAUUCAUAUUUCCUUAUCAUCAUUAGGUCAUUGAUAUAUGUUCCUUGUCCUUUCUGUGGUUGGCAGUCUGGCUUGAACCCUAACCAGGUGGAUUAUAUCAAUGCACACGCAACGUCGACUCCUCUGGGUGAUGCGGUGGAAGCCAAGGCGAUUCAGUCUUUAUUUUGCAAUCAUGCAGCAUCAGGGAAUUUGGCUUUUUCCUCCACAAAGGGUGCCACGGGACACCUCCUUGGAGCAGCAGGAGCUGUUGAAGCAAUAUUCUCCAUAUUAUCCAUUCACCAUGGGAUUGCGCCCUUAACCCUUAACCUCACUAAACCAGAUCCCAUUUUUAAUGGUGAUUUUAUGCCUUUGAGUGCUUCAAAGAUGAUGAGCAUUAGAGCGGCCAUGUCAAACUCUUUUGGCUUCGGUGGAACGAAUUCGUCGCUGCUCUUUGCUGCUUUAGAUUGAAGACCUCACAUUUGCUGGAUUUCUCUACAGUUCCUUCUCACUAGUGUUUUGGUGUCCUUGAUCAUAACAUAGUCAGAUAUGUUGAUUGAAUAUUCUAUUUCAUUCCUUUUGGAGCCAAUCUACUUGUCAAUGUUGUCAUCAUGUCGUAAAUGUGUGUGUGUGUGUGUGUGAGAGAGAGAGAGAGAGAGAGAGAGAGAGAGAUCUAUCACUACAACCCAAUUGGUUAUUCACGAUUCUGGGAGUCUGGAACACCAGAGGAGAAUGGAGAAGGACCCGGAAAAGAAGAAGUAUCCGGGCGGGGCAUUCGACCCGCUCGGCUGCUCCAAGGACCCGAAAACGAAGAGUACAAGGUGAAGGAGAUCAAGAAUGGUGAGAUUGUGCGUUCAGCAAUGAGCAUACCCGGGAACAGGGCCGUUGGAGAAUUUGGCGAAGCAUUUGGCACAACAACAUCGGCGACAUUCUCAUUCCUCUUUCCUAAUUACACACACACCAUUUGUAAAAUGUCGAAUCCAACUCAAAUCUUAUUUCUCCACAAAUUCAAUACUUUCGCUAUUUCAUGA